This 878-nucleotide ribosomal RNA is filed under the name uncultured bacterium. RNAcentral describes it as "bacterial SSU rRNA". It matches the Rfam family "Bacterial small subunit ribosomal RNA", at positions 9 to 873 of the family's 1533-position model. The record is from RNAcentral.
AGAGUUUGAUCCUGGCUCAGGAUGAACGCUAGCGGCAGGCCUAACACAUGCAAGUCGAGGGGUAGUAAGUGCUUGCACUUAUGAGACCGGCGCGCGGGUGCGUAACGCGUAUGCAAUCUACCUUGUACAGGGGGAUAGCCCAGAGAAAUUUGGAUUAAUAUCCCAUAGUGUUUUAGAGUGGCAUCACUUAAUUACUAAAGAUUUAUCGGUACAAGAUGAGCAUGCGUCCCAUUAGUUAGUUGGUAAGGUAACGGCUUACCAAGACGAUGAUGGGUAGGGGUCCUGAGAGGGAGAUCCCCCACACUGGUACUGAGACACGGACCAGACUCCUACGGGAGGCAGCAGUGAGGAAUAUUGGGCAAUGGAGGCAACUCUGACCCAGCCAUGCCGCGUGCAGGAAGACGGCCCUAUGGGUUGUAAACUGCUUUUGUACGGGAAGAAACACUCCUACGUGUAGGAGCUUGACGGUACCGUAAGGACAAGGAUCGGCUAGCUCCGUGCCAGCAGCCGCGGUAAUACGGAGGAUCCAAGCGUUAUCCGGAAUCAUUGGGUUUAAAGGGUCCGUAGGCGGCCUUAUAAGUCAGUGGUGAAAUCUCCUAGCUCAACCAGGAAACUGCCAUUGAUACUGUAGGGCUUGAAUUUUUGUGAAGUAACUAGAAUAUGUAGUGUAGCGGUGAAAUGCUUAGAUAUUACAUGGAAUACCAAUUGCGAAGGCAGGUUACUAACAAACGAUUGACGCUGAUGGACGAAAAGCGUGGGGAGCGAACAGGAUUAGAUACCCUGGUAGUCAACGCCGUAACGAUGGAUACUAGCUGUUCGAGAGCAAUCUUGAGUGGCUAACAAAAGUGAUAAAGUAUCCCACCUUGGGGGAGUACGCA